CCACAGAAUGCGUCGAAUAUCAAAAUCAUGUCAAAAUAUGGAUAGAUUUUGUAUGAGACGCAUUUCCGUGGC
RNAcentral lists this microRNA precursor (72 nucleotides) under Caenorhabditis brenneri. RNAcentral's name for it is "pre miRNA Cbn-lsy-6". It matches the Rfam family "lsy-6 microRNA precursor family". Lineage: Eukaryota; Metazoa; Nematoda; Chromadorea; Rhabditida; Rhabditidae. The record is from Rfam by way of RNAcentral.